RNAcentral lists this ribosomal RNA (431 nucleotides) under uncultured bacterium. RNAcentral describes it as "bacterial SSU rRNA". It matches the Rfam family "Bacterial small subunit ribosomal RNA", at positions 355 to 801 of the family's 1533-position model. The record is from RNAcentral.
UCGGGAAUUUUGGGCAAUGGGGGAAACCCUGACCCAGCAACGCCGCGUGAAGGAUGAAGUAUUUCGGUAGUGUAAACUUCGAAAGAAUAGGAAGAAUAAAUGACGGUACUAUUUAUAAGGUCCGGCUAACUACGUGCCAGCAGCCGCGGUAAUACGUAGGGACCAAGCGUUGUUCGGAUUUACUGGGCGUAAAGGGCGCGUAGGCGGCAAUUCAAGUCAUCUGUGAAAUCUCCGGGCUUAACUCGGAACGGUCAGAUGAUACUGCUUUGCUAGAGUGCAGAAGGGGCAAUCGGAAUUCUUGGUGUAGCGGUGAAAUGCGUAGAUAUCAAGAGGAACACCUGAGGUGAAGACGGGUUGCUGGGCUGACACUGACGCUGAGGCGCGAAAGCCAGGGGAGCAAACGGGGAUUAGAUACCCAAGUAGUCCCUGAG